UAACGGAGAGGAGAGACAGUAGACAGACGGUAGUAACGGAGAGGAGAGAGACAGUAGACAGACGGUACUAACGGAGAGGAGAGAGUCAGUAGACAGACGGUAGUAACAGAGAGGAGAGACAGUAGACAGACGGUAGUAACGGAGAGGAGAGUCAGUAGACAGACGGUAGAAACGGAGAGGAGAGAGACAGUAGACAGACGGUAGUAACAGAGAGGAGAGAGACAGUAGACAGACGGUACUAACGGAGAGGAGAGAGACAGUAGACAGACGGUACUAACGGAGAGGAGAGACAGUAGACAGACGGUAGUAACGGAGAGGAGAGAGACAGUAGACAGACGGUAGUAACAGAGAGGAGAGUCAGUAGACAGACGGUAGUAAUGGAGAGGAGAGACAGUAGACAGACGGUAGUAACGGAGACAGUAGACAGACGGUAGUAACAGAGAGGAGAGACAGUAGACAGACGGUACUAACGGAGAGGAGAGAGACAGUAGACAAACGGUAGUAACAGAGAGGAGAGUCAGUAGACAGACGGUAGUAACGGAGAGGAGAGAGACAGUAGACAGACGGUAGUAGUGGAGAGGAGAGUCAGUAGACAGACGGUAGUAACAGAGAGGAGAGAGACAGUAGACAGACGGUAGUAACAGAGAGGAGAGACAGUAGACAGACGGUAGUAACGGAGAGGAGAGAGACAGUAGACAGACGGUAGUAACGGAGAGGAGAGAGACAGUAGACAGACGGUAGUAAUGGAGAGGAGAGACCGUAGACAGACUGUAGUAACAGAGAGGAGAGACAGUAGACAGACGGUAGUAAUGGAGAGGAGAGACAGACAGACGGUAGUAACAGAGAGGAGAGACAGUAGACAGACUGUAGUAACAGAGAGGAGAGACAGUAGACAGACGGUAGUAAUGGAGAGGAGAUACAGACAGACGGUAGUAAUGGAGAGGAGAGACAGUAGACAGACUGUAGUAACAGAGAGGAGAGACAGUAGACAGACGGUAGUAACGGAGAGGAGAGACAGACAGACGGUAGUAACAGAGAGGAGAGACAGUAGACAGACUGUAGUAACAGAGAGGAGAGACAGUAGACAGACGGUAGUAAUGGAGAGGAGAGAGACAGUAGACAGACGGUACUAUGGGAGAGGAGAGAGACAGUAGACAGACUGUAGCAACGGAGAGGGGAGACAGUAGACAGACGGUAGUAACAGAGAGGAGAG
Long non-coding RNA from Oncorhynchus tshawytscha (Chinook salmon), 1213 nucleotides. NCBI's taxonomy places the organism in Eukaryota, Metazoa, Chordata, Actinopteri, Salmoniformes, Salmonidae. The record is from Ensembl.